GCAGCAGCCGCGGUAAUACGUAGGAUCCAAGCGUUGUCCGGAUUUACUGGGUGUAAAGGGUGCGCAGGCGGGCUUGUGCGUCAGAGGUUAAAUACUUCGGCUCAACCGAAGAAACGCCUUUGAUACGGCAAGUCUUGAGUGCGAGAGAGGAUGGUGGAAUUCCUGGUGUAGCAGUGAAAUGCGUAGAUAUCAGGAGGAACACCAGUGGUGAAGACGGCCAUCUGGCUCGCAACUGACGCUCAGGCACGAAAGCGUGGGUAGCAAACAGGAUUAGAUACCCUGGUAGUCCACGCCUUAAACGAUGUAUGCUUGGUGUUGGGAACAUUUGUUUUCGGCGCCGAAGGUAACCCGUUAAGCAUACCACCUGGGGAGUACGAUCGCAAGGUUGAAACUUAAAGGAAUUGGCGGGGGAU
Molecule: ribosomal RNA, 413 nt
Filed under: uncultured bacterium
Lineage: Bacteria
Description: bacterial SSU rRNA
Rfam family: Bacterial small subunit ribosomal RNA
Source: RNAcentral